UUUAAAAUUAACUUUCAAUACUCCACCAAUGUGCGUGUUACUAAGGAUGAUUCUGGAAUAUCCAUAUAUAGUUUUGAGUUUACUCAGUUCAUAGAGAUAACCUCAAGACAAGUCGAUGAGAAUUAUUUAAUUAGUAAACUCACUGCAUUAUAUGCUGUUUUUAAUAUAAAUAUCACAAUAUUCUUUAAAAUAUCAUCCUAUUUUUU
This 206-nucleotide long non-coding RNA is filed under the name Elaeis guineensis (African oil palm). RNAcentral describes it as "long non-coding RNA (EGUI_LNC010572)". Lineage: Eukaryota; Viridiplantae; Streptophyta; Magnoliopsida; Arecales; Arecaceae. The record is from RNAcentral.